CAUGAAGUUGGAUUCGCUAGUAAUCGCGCAUCAGCCAUGGCGCGGUGAAUACGUUCCCGGGCCUUGUACACACCGCCCGUCAAGCCAUGGGAGCCGGGGGUGCCUGAAGUUCGUUACCGCAAGGAUCGACCUAGGGCAAAACUGGUGACUGGGGCUAAGUCGUAACAAGGUACC
Molecule: ribosomal RNA, 174 nt
Filed under: uncultured bacterium
Lineage: Bacteria
Description: partial 16S ribosomal RNA
Rfam family: Bacterial small subunit ribosomal RNA
Source: RNAcentral